Molecule: long non-coding RNA, 2917 nt
Organism: Cavia porcellus (domestic guinea pig)
Lineage: Eukaryota; Metazoa; Chordata; Mammalia; Rodentia; Caviidae
Exons: 2
Source: RefSeq, a predicted model, not a curated record
GGAAAGGAGAGGAACAGGCAGGGAAUGGGACCUGGUCCACCCAAGGUUGCCAUUUGGCUGGGGAUCAGAAGGAGCUUGGGAGCUGGCCAGAGUGAGUUCUGUGGCUGGACACUCAGGAGCAACAUCAGGAAGACCCUCUGUCCAGUGGGUCAUUGCAGGGACUCAGUGGGAGGAGCUGCAGAUUGGAAUUCCAUGGAGACACAGGUUGGCCGCAACCCUGGGACCCUGGAGCUCUCAGCCCUACCUGGCCUGUGCUCCUGAGGCUCAUCUGAGCUGCCCCUGUGGGGACACCACAACCCUUAGGGUAGCAGCUAUGGAGUGUCUGCACCUGGGGGCACAUAGCCCUGCCUGGGAGUGGAGAGAAGAGGGGCUGGCUGGGCACUGGGAGCCGGUUGGCUGUCCCCACCAGCAGUGCGUUGCUGCUGGGGUACGCUCCUAAAAGGAGGCUGAGACCUUAAAGUACAAACCCACCCCUCCAGGCCUAGGUGUCCUUACGGUGAUGGUGUAUUUGUCUAAAAAGGAGGACAGCGCACAUUUUCUUUAGCAGUUUGUUAGCUGGAUUUAUAACCUGAGAAUAAUGUGGCCCGAACUGUACACCUGCUCAGCACUGACCGUCUAUCCUGCCCAGACAUGAGUGGCCAUCUCGGGCAGCUGACCCCUAGCCAGCGUGUAUCGGCGUGCAUCACCGGAGAUCCCAUGGCUUCCUUCGCAGCUUCCCAGUCCCACUUCUGCACCCCCAGGCCUCCGGUGGCCCCCCGCCUUUGUCCCAGGGUCCUGUGCCAUCCCCUGCAUGUUCGAUUGCAGCCUCCCUGGAGGCCAUGGCUGGCUCUCAGCUUGUCAUUGGUUUUAUGUGUUCACUGCGGCCUGUGUCCUAAUCCGGCCAGCCGGACAACGAUCCUGUCCCUGCAAUGGGAAGCAACCCUCCCCGUAGGAGCUGUGGCCUUGCCUGGAGUCACAUUGCCAGCUCUGGACUCGCUCGCUGUGCGACCUUGGGACGCAGCUUUGCUGCUCUGAGCUGUUUUUCUCUCCGGAAAUCUCAUAAUAAUAACGGCACCUCUUGCAGCGCAGAGGCAGAAUGUGGAACGCGGAGCCCACGUGUGCCCGAAGCUUGGCAGGCGAGCCGAGCAUUGGGGAGGGCGCGAGUGACAGCAUUCGCUGCUGUUUACAGAUGAGCAAACGCCAAGCUCAGCGAGGGGGCGCGGUUGCCCAAGGUCACACAGCUAGGAGAAGCAGGGAGGUCCACGCCGGGUCGAUGAGACUUGAGCGCUAACCGGUGGAUGCUCCGAUCGCCAAGUUGCUACCCCCAGAACCUCGUCUAGCCCAGAGGGGCCUCGGGUGCCCGCAGCCACGUGGAGGCAGCAGAGACUGCAGAACUCGAGCGGCGUGGAAUGGGUUAACGUGCCCGCUGCAUUGGGCCGGCCUCCGCAAGAAGCAGCCAAUGGACGCCGGGGGCUACGAGUACCGGGGAUCGAACUCACGACUGCCUGCUUGCAAGGCAGGUGCUUAUGCCGCUGAGCUAAAUCCUCAGCCCUUCACCUAUAUUUUUAAGCAUCCUCAUAUGACGUGCCACACUGGAUUUUGGAGUACACACAGAGAUGGGAGGAGCUCCAUACCGAACAAGAAGGGGACAUGAUGUGAACUGGCCAGUUGGUUCCCUUCUGGUCCUGGCAGCCUCUUUGUGCCCUGAGGACCCAGCCCUGUGAAACUCACAUGUGUUCUGCUACCACCUGCCCCAGGGCCUUGACACAACCUGUCACCCCUCCUCCACCAUCUUCAUCCUUCCACAUGGCCAGCGGCCCUUUGGUGUCGAUUUCCUUCCCAACUUCAGUGGCACCUUACUGUCAUUUGUCACACUGGACUCUGUCAUUGUGGAGGCCUGGAAAGGGCUUUCUGUGUUUGAAAGGCCAGCUCUUCUGCCAUGGGGCCUCCAGUGUCCAGCCUGGCCUUCGGUGGCAGGUGGCCAGACAGACCUCAAAGUGCUCUGUAACCCAGCAGGGCCAGAAGUGCAACCCCUGGGAGGCCUCUCACGUGUGAGCUUGACACAGGAGAUCGAGUGGCCUAUGUAGCAGGUUCAAGGCCAGCCUGUCCUACAGAGAAGACCCUGUGCCAGAAAACAGAGAGAGUCAGUGAGGGAGAGAGAGCGCAAACUCAGGUUCUUACCAACUGUGACGUGCACCUGGAGGAAGUAGAAGCCCCGGGCCAGGCUCGUGUGGCCCCUGCCCCGCCCAGUCCAGCCAGGGGUCCCCUGAGGCUGUGGUGUGGCCAGGCCGGAGGCAGAGUCCCAGUUCUCACCUUUCUGAGAAAAGAACCCUGAGAGGUCAGGGUCGUCCCUGUCCCCUUCCCUCCACCUGGAAGGUCCUGCCUUGGGGGCAGGGGAUGGAGGAGACAGGUCCCACUGCCCUGGCUUCCGGCCGAGGGGCUGGAGGAUGCGGUGAGAGGCUGGGUGGCCCUGUGUGCCCUCCACCCUGACACAGGCUUGCUCCAGCCAGGACCUCAGGGGCCGCAGUGAGAGGAUUUCAGAGCAGUCUCCCCUUUCAUGCAGUCCCCACCACCCCUGCAUCCUGGCUGAGAGGAGGCCGCUUCCUGGGGUCCGUCAAGGCCUGGCAGCAGAGCCACCACUAUGGUGACAUCAGGUGUGACCUGCGGGUAGGCCCCGCCAGGCAUGGCCACCUGGACGCAUCUGGGAGGGGCAGGAGCUUGGGGGAGGGUGUGAUCACUACCAGCCUUGAGGAGCCUGGGUAAGGUACUCAGGACAGAAGGGCCAGUGAUUGGCCCUUGUCACUUUGCUGCUUCCUGCCCGCCAUGAACUCUUUCUUCCCUGUGUCGCCCCUGUGCCAGGCCACCCUGCCUUGGGGCCAGCCAACCAUGGACUGAAACCUCUACAAACUGUAAGCUAAAUAAACUUUUCCUUCCUUAA